AUUACACAUGAUGCCGUGUGAAAAACUCCGGAGGUAUACGAUGGAUCCGCGUCUGAUUAGCCAGUUGGCGGGGUAACGGCCCACCAAAGCGACGAUCAGUAGCCGGCCUGAGAGGGUGAACGGCCACAUUGGGACUGAGACACGGCCCAAACUCCUACGGGAGGCAGCAGUGGGGAAUAUUGCACAAUGGGGGAAACCCUGAUGCAGCGACGCCGCGUGAGUGAAGAAGUAUCUCGGUAUGUAAAGCUCUAUCAGCAGGAAAGAUAAUGACGGUACCUGACUAAGAAGCCCCGGCUAACUACGUGCCAGCAGCCGCGGUAAUACGUAGGGGGCAAGCGUUAUCCGGAUUUACUGGGUGUAAAGGGAGCGUAGACGGCAGCGCAAGUCUGGAGUGAAAUGCCGGGGCCCAACCCCGGAACUGCUUUGGAAACUGUGCGGCUCGAGUGCGGGAGAGGUAGGCGGAAUUCCUAGUGUAGCGGUGAAAUGCGUAGAUAUUAGGAGGAACACCAGUGGCGAAGGCGGCUUACUGGACCGUAACUGACGUUGAGGCUCGAAAGCGUGGGGAGCAAACAGGAUUAGAUACCCUGGUAGUCCACGCCGUAAACGAUGAUUAAUAGGUGUCGGGG
This 626-nucleotide ribosomal RNA is filed under the name uncultured bacterium. Its description in RNAcentral is "bacterial SSU rRNA". It matches the Rfam family "Bacterial small subunit ribosomal RNA", at positions 173 to 828 of the family's 1533-position model. The record is from RNAcentral.